Drosophila willistoni is the source of this 531-nucleotide long non-coding RNA. RefSeq lists it as uncharacterized. The transcript has 2 exons. Lineage: Eukaryota; Metazoa; Arthropoda; Insecta; Diptera; Drosophilidae. The record is from RefSeq and is a predicted model, not a curated record.
UUGAUAUAAUCUUAUAAACGAUGUGCUUACGAAAAGUAGGCACAUUACAAUGAAAAGCAAAUAUUUGAUAUGGCAAUAAGAAAUCGUAUCACAUUUUUCAAGGGAUCUUUGCCCCAUACACAUACACCUAAAUGUAAAUAGAAGCAAGUGGAUUUGAUUAAAUUAUAUGCAAUUUACAUAUUACUUCUUAAUGGAAAGAAUAAAAUUUAUAAUCAGAUUGCAUUUAACAAAUUUCGCGAAAAUUGUUGGCGAUCGUAAAGGUAAGAAAAAACUCAAGAUGAAAACCGAAAACGUAACAAUAUUGUGAUUCGGUUCUGCAUUCAUUACCAUGCACUGUGUCACCUUCUAUGCCAAUUACAAGUUGAAGGAAAACCUUUCAACACGGGAGCAUCUCGUUUUUGGAGGCAUCUUUGUAAGCAUUUUUCCACGAAUCAUAAAAAGUUGUGAGCUUUUCAAUUAGGGCAUUACUUCACAUCUUCCACAUUUUUAAUGGAACCUUUCUCAAAUUGCUUACUGUUAUUGUCAGAAGAA